RNAcentral lists this ribosomal RNA (520 nucleotides) under uncultured bacterium. RNAcentral's name for it is "bacterial SSU rRNA". It matches the Rfam family "Bacterial small subunit ribosomal RNA", at positions 170 to 694 of the family's 1533-position model. The record is from RNAcentral.
GCCAUGUGGUCCUGUCCUGUGGGGUAGGACUAAAGGGUGGAUAGCCCGCUUCCGGAUGGGCCCGCGUCCCAUCAGCUAGUUGGUGGGGUAAAGGCCCACCAAGGCGACGACGGGUAGCCGGUCUGAGAGGAUGGCCGGCCACAGGGGCACUAAGACACGGGCCCCACUCCUACGGGAGGCAGCAGUUAGGAACCUUCCGCAAUGGACGGAAGUCUGACGGAGCGACGCCGCUUGGAGGAGGAAGCCCUUCGGGGUGUAAACUCCUGAACUGGGGACGAAAGCCCCGUGUAGGGGGAUGACGGUACCCAGGUAAUAGCGCCGGCCAACUCCGUGCCAGCAGCCGCGGUAAUACGGAGGGCGCGAGCGUUACCCGGAUUUACUGGGCGUAAAGGGCGUGUAGGCGGCUUGGGGCGUCCCAUGUGAAAGGCCACGGCUCAACCGUGGAGGAGCGUGGGAUACGCUCAGGCUAGAGGGUGGGAGAGGGUGGUGGAAUUCCCGGAGUAGCGGUGAAAUGCGCAGA